AUUGAACGCUGGCGGCAGGCCUAACACAUGCAAGUCGAACGGUAACAGGGAUCCGCUUGCUGAUUCGCUGACGAGUGGCGGACGGGUGAGUAAUGUCUGGGAAACUGCCUGAUGGAGGGGGAUAACUACUGGAAACGGUAGCUAAUACCGCAUAACGUCGCAAGACCAAAGAGGGGGACCUUCGGGCCUCUUGCCCUCGGAUGUGCCCAGAUGGGAUUAGCUAGUAGGUGGGGUAACGGCUCACCUAGGCGACGAUCCCUAGCUGGUCUGAGAGGAUGACCAGCCACACUGGAACUGAGACACGGUCCAGACUCCUACGGGAGGCAGCAGUGGGGAAUAUUGCACAAGGGGCGCAAGCCUGAUGCAGCCAUGCCGCGUGUAUGAAGAAGGCCUUCGGGUUGUAAAGUACUUUCAGCGGGGAGGAAGGGAGUAAAGUUAAUACCUUUGCUCAUUGACGGUACCCGCAGAAGAAGCACCGGCUAACUCCGUG
Molecule: ribosomal RNA, 490 nt
Filed under: uncultured bacterium
Lineage: Bacteria
Description: partial 16S ribosomal RNA
Rfam family: Bacterial small subunit ribosomal RNA
Source: RNAcentral